GUCCAGGGAUGGGAAUCGAACCCACAGUGUUCCGCUUACCGAGCAGUUGCCAUGUCCACUAGGCUACCCUGGA
This 73-nucleotide transfer RNA is filed under the name Cordylochernes scorpioides. Its description in RNAcentral is "tRNA-Thr". The record is from RNAcentral. Lineage: Eukaryota; Metazoa; Arthropoda; Arachnida; Pseudoscorpiones; Chernetidae.